Long non-coding RNA from Thalassophryne amazonica, 893 nucleotides. RefSeq lists it as uncharacterized. The record is from RefSeq and is a predicted model, not a curated record. NCBI's taxonomy places the organism in Eukaryota, Metazoa, Chordata, Actinopteri, Batrachoidiformes, Batrachoididae. The transcript is spliced from 3 exons.
CCUGGAUUAAUCUUUUUAGUCACAUAGUACUAUUACUCUGAACACUACUGUACGACAGAUUUAGAAACAACCUGGAAUGGAAUUUUACUGCUGCUAAGCUGAAUUAAUUCAGUAUGACACAAAAAUGGAUUUACCAUGUGGAAUUAAUUAAUGCUGCCUGUGUGUCCAGUCGGGAUUGUGUGUAUCAUGAUAUUGUGCCUUGUUCCGUCUGCAGAAUUUGAAAGCUGGAACAUAUCGGAUCUGUGUAAACUUUCAGCACUAACUUCUUCAGAUUAUGGCAUGUUCAACUUCUGUACCUUGAUAUUGCUUGGCAGUGCCUGGAAUACAAUGUGACUCAUGAAUGAUCAUCUGCAAAGGAAUUGAUUGAAGCUGGAACAGAUUGGAUCUGUAAAAACUUUCCAUAUCCAGGUAAGAACGGUAUUUUAACACGUAUCUUGGGGAGGUGAUGGUCUAGUGGUUAAGCGUUGGUCUUGAGACCAGAGAACCCUCUGUUCAAAUCUCAGUCUGACUAGAAAAUCAAUAAGGGCCCUUGGGCAAGGUCCUUAAUCCCCUAGUUGCUCCCUGUGUGUAGUGAGCGCCUUGUAUGGCAGCACCGUGUCAGAGUGAAUGUGAGGCAUUAUUGUAACGCGCUUUGAGCGUCUGAUGCAGAUGGAAAAGCGCUAUAUAAAUGCAGUCCAUUUUACCAUUUAUUUUGCAAGCUUUUUUCCGUGUGUGUUCACCCGUGUAUUUACUUACGCAUAGAAAAUGCACAUGAAAACAUUUCACAUCUGGGCAGUUAGUCACUAUUUGGCCCGGUUUGAAAAUGGUGGCUCAUUUUCCAUGAAGGAACAUUUGCGUUAAGUAGGCAGCAUUGCGACUGCGGUCUCUAGUACUCCGAUACUCCCAACUAACAA